Molecule: ribosomal RNA, 440 nt
Filed under: uncultured bacterium
Lineage: Bacteria
Description: partial 16S ribosomal RNA
Rfam family: Bacterial small subunit ribosomal RNA
Source: RNAcentral
CCUACGGGUGGCAGCAGUGGGGAAUAUUGGUCAAUGGGGGGAACCCUGAUCCAGCGACGCCGCGUGAGUGAAGAAGUAUUUCGGUAUGUAAAGCUCUAUUAGUAGGGAAGAAAAUGACGGUACCUGACUAAGAAGCCCCGGCUAACUACGUGCCAGCAGCCGCGGUAAUACGGAGGGGGCAAGCGUUAUCCGGAUUGACUGGGUGUAAAGGGCGUGUAGGCGGGACUGCAAGUCAGAUGUGAAAACCACGGGCUCAACCUGUGACGUGCAUUUGAUACUGUAAGUCUAGAGUAGUGGAGAGGUAGACGGAAUUCCUGGUGUAGCGGUGAAAUGCGUAGAUAUUAGGAAGAACACCGAUGGCGAAGGCGGCCUGCUAGACAGCAACUGACGCUGAGGCGCGAAAGCGUGGGGAGCAAACAGGAUUAGAUACCCUUGUAGUC